CGAGCGGGCGAGGUUGCAUCGGUAACUGAGCUAAGCGGCGGACGGGUGAGUAAUGCUUAGGAAUCUGCCUAUUAGUGGGGGACAACAUUCCGAAAGGAAUGCUAAUACCGCAUACGCCCUACGGGGGAAAGCAGGGGAUCUUCGGACCUUGCGCUAAUAGAUGAGCCUAAGUCAGAUUAGCUAGUUGGUGGGGUAAAGGCCUACCAAGGCGACGAUCUGUAGCGGGUCUGAGAGGAUGAUCCGCCACACUGGGACUGAGACACGGCCCAGACUCCUACGGGAGGCAGCAGUGGGGAAUAUUGGACAAUGGGCGCAAGCCUGAUCCAGCCAUGCCGCGUGUGUGAAGAAGGCCUUUUGGUUGUAAAGCACUUUAAGCGAGGAGGAGGCUACUUGGAUUAAUACUCUAGGAUAGUGGACGUUACUCGCAGAAUAAGCACCGGCUAACUCUGUGCCAGCAGCCGCGGUAAUACAGAGGGUGCGAGCGUUAAUCGGAUUUACUGGGCGUAAAGCGUGCGUAGGCGGCUUCUUAAGUCGGAUGUGAAAUCCCUGAGCUUAACUUAGGAAUUGCAUUCGAUACUGGGAAGCUAGAGUAUGGGAGAGGAUGGUAGAAUUCCAGGUGUAGCGGUGAAAUGCGUAGAGAUCUGGAGGAAUACCGAUGGCGAAGGCAGCCAUCUGGCCUAAUACUGACGCUGAGGUACGAAAGCAUGGGGAGCAAACAGGAUUAGAU
Molecule: ribosomal RNA, 727 nt
Filed under: uncultured bacterium
Lineage: Bacteria
Description: bacterial SSU rRNA
Rfam family: Bacterial small subunit ribosomal RNA
Source: RNAcentral